GGGGGUAUAGCUCAGUGGUAGAGCGCGUGCUUAGCAUGCACGAGGUCCUGGGUUCAAUCCCCAGUACUUCCA
RNAcentral lists this transfer RNA (72 nucleotides) under Loxodonta africana (African savanna elephant). RNAcentral describes it as "tRNA-Ala (AGC) (tRNA-Ala-AGC-8-1)". It matches the Rfam family "tRNA". Rfam says of the family: Transfer RNA (tRNA) molecules are approximately 80 nucleotides in length. Their secondary structure includes four short double-helical elements and three loops (D, anti-codon, and T loops). Lineage: Eukaryota; Metazoa; Chordata; Mammalia; Proboscidea; Elephantidae. The record is from Rfam by way of RNAcentral.